RNAcentral lists this ribosomal RNA (520 nucleotides) under uncultured Glomeromycotina. Its description in RNAcentral is "SSU rRNA". It matches the Rfam family "Eukaryotic small subunit ribosomal RNA", at positions 569 to 1088 of the family's 1831-position model. The record is from RNAcentral. Lineage: Eukaryota; Fungi; Glomeromycota.
AGCAGCCGCGGUAAUUCCAGCUCCAAUAGCGUAUAUUAAAGUUGUUGCAGUUAAAAAGCUCGUAGUUGAAUUUCGGAAUCUGUCCGUUGGUCGGGCUUAACUGUCCGUACUGAUGUGAUGGGUUCUUACCUUCUGAAUAACCAGCAUGUCAUUAAUUUGGUGUGUUGGGGAAGCAGGACUAUUACCUUGAAAAAAUUAGAGUGCUCAAAGCAGGCUAGUGCCUGAAUACAUUAGCAUGGAAUAAUAAAAUAGGACGGCAUGGUUCUAUUUUGUUGGUUUCUAGGAUCACCGUAAUGAUUAAUAGGGAUAGUUGGGGGCAUUAGUAUUCAAUUGUCAGAGGUGAAAUUCUUGGAUUUAUUGAAGACUAACUUCUGCGAAAGCAUUUGCCAAGGAUGUUUUCAUUAAUCAAGAACGAAAGUUAGGGGAUCGAAGACGAUCAGAUACCGUCGUAGUCUUAACCAUAAACUAUGCCGACUAGGGAUCGGACGAUGUUAAUUUAUAAUGACUCGUUCGCGUACCG